GACGAACGCUGGCGGCGUGCCUAAUACAUGCAAGUAGAACGCACAGUUUAUACCGUAGCUUGCUACACCAUAGACUGUGAGUUGCGAACGGGUGAGUAACGCGUAGGUAACCUGCCUGGUAGCGGGGGAUAACUAUUGGAAACGAUAGCUAAUACCGCAUAAUAUUAAUUAUUGCAUGAUAAUUAAUUGAAAGGUGCAGUUGCACCACUACCAGAUGGACCUGCGUUGUAUUAGCUAGUAGGUGAGGUAACGGCUCACCUAGGCGACGAUACAUAGCCGACCUGAGAGGGUGAUCGGCCACACUGGGACUGAGACACGGCCCAGACUCCUACGGGAGGCAGCAGUAGGGAAUCUUCGGCAAUGGACGAAAGUCUGACCGAGCAACGCCGCGUGAGUGAAGAAGGUUUUCGGAUCGUAAAGCUCUGUUGUAAGAGAAGAACGGGUGUGAGAGUGGAAAGUUCACACUGUGACGGUAUCUUACCAGAAAGGGACGGCUAACUACGUG
Molecule: ribosomal RNA, 505 nt
Filed under: uncultured bacterium
Lineage: Bacteria
Description: partial 16S ribosomal RNA
Rfam family: Bacterial small subunit ribosomal RNA
Source: RNAcentral